CUCGGACCUUCGCUGUACAGAGAGCACAGUGCGGAAGUCAUUUUAGGAUGAGCAAGCAGGCUCUGAGGAUCACUCCUUGCCUUCAUUCACGGUACACAGACCCUCCACUUUGCAAGAGAUCAUAUAAACCACGCCGCUAACAGUGUCUUGGGAUCCAGGGAACAAGGACAAGUCUUUUGGAGCAUCAUGGAGCCGGACCAGUUCUGGCUUUUGUCAUUCUGUUUCUUGGCCACUCUCCUGCGUGUGGGAGCCAGGUUCUGUGUGCCUCCAAGGGGAAGAUGAUGUCUGAAGACGGGAUGCAUGAGACUGCCAGCCUCAUGCCCCUACCAUCGUGCCGUCUCUGCAAUGAUGUGUCUAUCCUUUCUGGAAGUAUAAACCAAA
This is a long non-coding RNA of Mesocricetus auratus (golden hamster), 381 nucleotides long. RefSeq lists it as uncharacterized. NCBI's taxonomy places the organism in Eukaryota, Metazoa, Chordata, Mammalia, Rodentia, Cricetidae. The record is from RefSeq and is a predicted model, not a curated record. The transcript has 4 exons.